AGAGUUUGAUCCUGGCUCAGGACGAACGCUGGCGGUGUGCUUAACACAUGCAAGUCAACGAGAAUUUAUCUUCGGAUAAUAGUAAAGUGGCGAACGGGUGAGUAACGCGUAAAUAACUUGCCUCGGAGAUUGGGACAACAUUGGGAAACCAGUGCUAAUACCAAAUAAUGCAGCGGGCCCUUUGGGGUAUUGUUGUUAAAGUAGGCUUCGGCUUACACUUCGAGAUAGAUUUGCGUCCGAUUAGUUAGUUGGUAGGGUAAUAGCCUACCAAGACCGAGAUCGGUAGCUGGUCUGAGAGGAUGAUCAGCCACACUGGAAUUGAGAUACGGUCCAGACUCCUACGGGAGGCAGCAGUGAGGAAUUUUGCACAAUGGGCGAAAGCCUGAUGCAGCAACACCGCGUGAUUGAUGAAGUUUUUAGGAAUGUAAAAAUCUGUCGUAAGGGAAGAAAU
RNAcentral lists this ribosomal RNA (451 nucleotides) under uncultured marine bacterium. RNAcentral describes it as "bacterial SSU rRNA". It matches the Rfam family "Bacterial small subunit ribosomal RNA", at positions 8 to 451 of the family's 1533-position model. The record is from RNAcentral.